CCACUUUGAUUGCUUUAAAACAUCUACUACACUUGAAGGGGCACUUGAGUAAAGGCUUAUGAAUAUACCGUCGUUCCCAGAUCUCGAUGUGUGGGGGGUGGCAGAUGAAAUAAGAUAGCUUUGAAAUGCCAGCAUGAGCUAGCAAAUACUGCAGGAAGAGACUUCUGAGAGCAGUCGUCUCCAUCACCUCUCAAACCCCCUCCACGAAAGCGGGCCUUAUUUGUUUUAUUUGCGUUUAGCAAAUCGAGGGCGAGAGAGGGGAAGGAUAAACAAGGCCACAAACAUAAAUAAACGGGGGGGGGGGGAGAAAGAGAUGGAGAAGUGAGAAAAGAAGGAAAGAGAGAUUGUCAAGCUUGGGAGAUGCAAAGCGGUCGGGCUUUCACAUUCCACGUGAAUUCAGAUAUUCCCCCCCCCCCCCCCCCGCCCCCGUCAAUGGGGCUGAAAGCAAAAGCGCACACGCUGAUGGGGAACGGCCAGGGGAUUGAACACAGGGAAGGCUGCAGCAUGGCGCCUGUGGCCUACGCGUGGUUCCCAUUACCGGGGGGGGGGGGGGGGCAGGGAUAGGUGAGAAACCCCGCGCUCACUCGGCCCUGAGGCCUAACCGUCACUUCACACUUUGCUCACAUGAACAGAGAGAGAUAAUUUUAAAAAAUUGAACCGGAUUUCAAAGGAUGAGAUGCCGUUGGACUGACUGAGAUACUCCAGCACUUUCAGUAAGACCUCCUCAGCAAAUACUGAAUCUUUCCAAUUUGAAAAGUUAUGAUGUUUUCAAAAAUGACCCUCUCCAGCCAGGUGCACAAGUAGCUCCCAGAGACAAAAAUCAGCAAAACUUUCGAAAUGAUUCACACUGGUUCAACUCUCGUAUACCUCAAAAUGAGAAAUAUGAAUAACGUGCAUAACUCACUGGAACUGUCAAAUCUCGAGUCUCCAAUGUGGGAAUCGCAGGACGGCAUCUUCAAUGACCUCUGUUCAAACAUAGAAACUAAAGAAUUUGACGUCUUGACAAGGACAUGCAGAACAACAUAUGCAACUGAUGACAUCCUGCACAAAUCUGGGCAAUAACAAAGUCCUUUACUCUUCUUUGCUGUUUCCAUUGGGAAAAUAGUGAAGUUGUUUUUGAAGAGAGACAUCAGUGAUUUGCUUCAUCAAAUGCCAACUCAAAACUGGCCAGUGUUACUGAUGUCCCACUGACAUCCUGGAAGGAGGGUCAACUCUCCUGCAUGCAGGAUUGAAGUGAUUGAGAGUGGCUUGCGAGUCUGAUGCAGACUGGGCAGCAACAUUGCAGUCAUUGCCUGAAGCCAACUCUAAAGCAUUUUGGCAAAGCCUCUGCAAAAUCAGCUGCGAUGGACUGAACAGUGUUUGAAGAAAUGCAGUUACUAUUACUGUACAGACUGGCUUGCUGUAGUUCAUUUCAGCUCCCCCCACCCACCAACAAGUGCUGUAAGUGCCGUUGUGUGCAGUCCGUUGCAGCCAUUAAACAUAUAACUGAAAGAUGGUUUCAGGAAUGAUGCAGCUGAAAAUGUGUGGAUUUUCAGAACUGGGAGACAGCCAACUACUGAAAGAAGCAGAAUGAAAGAUAAGCAGCUGUCUGUGAAGUUGAAUUUCUGAGUAAAUCAAAAUUGCUGUGCAUUUUCCACUCCCGACAAAUGCGGAAAUGAAAGGAAUGAUCUAGACUGGAUUCAAAUUUAUCCAUUCAGUAGCAAAUAUAUGAAAUAGUCACAGGAUUAAUUUAAAAACCUGAGCAUAUUAGUGUAGCAACCCUUCCAUCAGUGCUGGGGAAAGAGUGUUCCAAAUUGUACUGCAGCAGGGGACACACCAAGGAGCUGAAAAGGCAACAGGAAAGAUUUUGCAGACUUUGAAGACAAUUUUGAACUCUGCACUGAUGUGACUCAUGAAUGGUAUCAGCUUGAGUCUCUGAAUGAGAACAGGUAAAGCUUUGCAUUAUGCUCAGUGACAUUCCAGGCUGAAUGAAAUUGACAUUAUUAAAAAAAGAAAAAUUAUUUGCAGAAGAAUGAGCAGAAACAUGGGGUAGGAUGAAAAGAUUGCACAAGAUAUCACACAAAGGAAAUGGGAGAUACAGAGGUCUAACUGUAAAGCAUUAAAUCAAUUGACAGAAAGGAUUUCGCUUGAAAUAAGCUAAAUGAGCCAAUAAAGAUGGCUGCUAGAGAGAUGUCAGUUGAUGAGUUCAACAAAUCACUCUACACCAUACAACAGUUUGGCAUCAUCAGGUCAAAAGAUAAUAAAAACAGCUGUUACAAUGGAGGCCACAGAAGGAGAGUGUCAAGUAGCUGUAAAGUAUAAGGUCGACAUCAGUACUUUGUUCAAUAUAAUUAGCUUCACAGACCAAGUGGCUCAAGAUGGUAACCAGGAAUGAAGAUCUUAAAAAUGACCUUUAAGUUAUCUGAUGAAGCCAAGAGGUCAAAUGGAGUUGAGGUCCAAUGCAAUCGGAAUAAAGAAGACCUCGAAUUCCAGAUAGCAGACAUUAAGCAAAAUCCUCUCAAUCCAGCUGAAGCAAGUCUAAAACUUGGAUUAGUAGCCCUGAACAUGUCAGAAGAGAUUUAGGAACAGAAACAGAAACAGGCGAUUCAGCCCAUUGAGCCUGCUCCAGUGUUCAGUAUGGUCUUGGCUGAUUGAAUGCUUCAGUAUUUUGGAUGCUUGUUGGACUUCUCGAUCAAUUCCGUCACAAAUUGCGCCAAAGCCCAUGUCACUCAGACCCUUGUAGGAUUUCACCCUAUGUAGGUAAAGCUUAUGCAGAGACUGAUGAAACCUGACCAGAGUUAAUACUGUUAACUGUGUUCUGUUCGUGGUGUCAAAUGUAGAUCAUUGUGUGUUGGGUAACGUGUAAGAUGUAACCGCAAAUGAUAUUGCAUGCAAUGUUGUUUUGUUUUCUCAUGUAAAGCGGGAUGUUUGGAGAAAUGCAGUUGCUCUUAGGGCUGGCUUGCUAUUGUCAUGUGACUUCUACCUUUGUUGGAAGCACCAAUGUAUGUGGUUUUUGGCUGCCUUAAACUCAUAUCAUUUGAAAUAGAUAGUGUCUCGAAGGUUAAAAUGCAUCUUC
Chiloscyllium plagiosum (whitespotted bambooshark) is the source of this 3055-nucleotide non-coding RNA. Lineage: Eukaryota; Metazoa; Chordata; Chondrichthyes; Orectolobiformes; Hemiscylliidae. The record is from RefSeq and is a predicted model, not a curated record.